RNAcentral lists this ribosomal RNA (254 nucleotides) under uncultured bacterium. Its description in RNAcentral is "partial 16S ribosomal RNA". It matches the Rfam family "Bacterial small subunit ribosomal RNA", at positions 524 to 776 of the family's 1533-position model. The record is from RNAcentral.
UACGUAGGGUGCAAGCGUUUGUCCGGAAUUAUUGGGCGUAAAGAGCUCGUAGGCGGUUUGUCGCGUCUGCUGUGAAAACGCGAGGCUCAACCUCGCGCCUGCAGUGGGUACGGGCAGACUGGAGUGCGGUAGGGGAGAUUGGAAUUCCUGGUGUAGCGGUGGAAUGCGCAGAUAUCAGGAGGAACACCGAUGGCGAAGGCAGAUCUCUGGGCCGUAACUGACGCUGAGGAGCGAAAGCGUGGGGAGCGAACAGG